AUCUGAGCUCGAAUCGGAGCGAAGGAUUCGUUCAAACCCAGCAGAAAUUGCAUCAUAGAUUCUCGUUGUUGAUCCUUCAUAUAAACACGCAUGCCACUGCAAUUGCAAACUGGUAUCGCCUUGAAUUCUCGAAGCUCAUCCUACAAGGAUUUCAGUCGAGUAUAGUAGGUAUUGACAUCAGCCGAUCCCUGAGUGUGAGCAAGAAUUUUUUGCUUGAGUUCAAAAAUU
This 228-nucleotide long non-coding RNA is filed under the name Vitis vinifera (wine grape). RNAcentral describes it as "long non-coding RNA (VVIN_LNC002371)". Lineage: Eukaryota; Viridiplantae; Streptophyta; Magnoliopsida; Vitales; Vitaceae. The record is from RNAcentral.